RNAcentral lists this long non-coding RNA (327 nucleotides) under Cyanistes caeruleus (blue tit). Its description in RNAcentral is "lncRNA (ENSCCEG00000005399.1)". The record is from RNAcentral. Lineage: Eukaryota; Metazoa; Chordata; Aves; Passeriformes; Paridae.
UCUUGCUGCUGUGCACAAAAUGUCUGUGAUAAGGAUGCAGAGAGAUGCUGUGGUCACAUCUUCCUUCCUCUGGCUGACAGCCUCUACCUAAGAAGCUCUGCUGAUCCUGAAAUAAAACAGAGAAGUUGGAAAACUCAUAUAGAAAAGCCUGCACUGAGUCAUGGCAGAACAGAUAAACAGGAUAUUUAAGCACAUCUGCAGUUGCAUAGGAGGAGCACAGAACUGCUCAGGUGCUUAAGGACCAAAGUGAAAGAAGAGUUAAGGAAGGAGACUGGUGCCUCUGACUGUCUUUGAACUCAGCGCAGUCCUGGGAAAAGUGAGUUGAUG